RNAcentral lists this long non-coding RNA (632 nucleotides) under Physcomitrium patens. RNAcentral's name for it is "long non-coding RNA (PPAT_LNC014191)". The record is from RNAcentral. Lineage: Eukaryota; Viridiplantae; Streptophyta; Bryopsida; Funariales; Funariaceae.
UAGGCUUCAGCUGGGAGAGGACAUCAACCUUGAGAUGAACUUGAUGAUUCAAGGUUACUUAUGGGUUUGAAAAAUAAUGCUCAGCUAAUGUGCAUCAUGACAAGUUGAGGUUUCGGCAAUCUUUCAGAAUCCAUGUGUUUUAAUCAAGUGAUGGGACAAAUGAUAAUACAAGUCAAGCAAGAUGUGAGUGUACGCAUGCAAAUGCCUGGCCAAACACACGAACCGGGGUGAUUUCUGCCAUUAAACUAUGCAUGCAGACUGGGGACCUAGUUAAGGAUAUUGUUGAAUGAACAACGCUAGGAUUUGCCUAGAUUGCUAGACUCGGAUCUAAAUAUCUGUGGUUUUUCAGUUCGAGUCUAACAUCUCCACUACACAUGGUUGUAUGGUUUCAGAAUAGCAGCCCUCGGCUUCUGCGGCCCCAAUAUUCUGAGAAUGUCUCAGGGAGUAGAAAACCCAAAGCGGGAUUUCACCCCAGUUAGUAGAUUGGUUGUGAUAGUGCAGGUCUGAAUCCUUCUGACCUGCACACACCACUGCAAAACGUCCCGUGUUAUCAAUACCCAAUUCACAUUCUUCGUUUUUUGAUCAUACAGGUUUCCUCCUUUCACAUACGCUGUUAUUAAAUCUCAAACACA